This 468-nucleotide ribosomal RNA is filed under the name uncultured bacterium. RNAcentral's name for it is "partial 16S ribosomal RNA". It matches the Rfam family "Bacterial small subunit ribosomal RNA", at positions 28 to 507 of the family's 1533-position model. The record is from RNAcentral.
GACGAACGCUGGCGGCGUGCUUAACACAUGCAAGUCGAACGGAAAGGCCCUGCUUUUGUGGGGUGCUCGAGUGGCGAACGGGUGAGUAACACGUGAGUAACCUGCCCUUGACUUUGGGAUAACUUCAGGAAACUGGGGCUAAUACCGGAUAGGAGCUCCUGCUGCAUGGUGGGGGUUGGAAAGUUUCGGCGGUUGGGGAUGGACUCGCGGCUUAUCAGCUUGUUGGUGGGGUAGUGGCUUACCAAGGCUAUGACGGGUAGCCGGCCUGAGAGGGUGACCGGCCACAUUGCGACUGAGAUACGGCCCAGACUCGAACGGGAGGCAGCAGUGGAGAAUAUUGCACAAUGGGCGGAAGCCAGAUGCAGCAACGCCGCGUGCGGGAUGACGGCCUUCGGGUUGUAAACCGCUGUCGCCUGUGACGAAGCGUGAGUGACGGUAAUGGGUAAAGAAGCACCGGCUAACUACGUG